GACGGCUGAAGAGGUUGUCUAAUGCUAUGGAAAGAAGGGAAAAAGAGAAAAGAAAGAAGAUUGAGGCUUACCUCGGGCUUUGGUGGGCAUACUUGUAGCUUUGGAAACAAACUCUAGGGUGAUUCCUCGAUGUUGGGCCUCCGAUCUCCGAUCAGAAGAAUGGGAAUCUUUUUUCCUAUUAAAUAAAGCUCGAGUGGAGGAGUCCAACUCCCCCUUGGCUUCAAUUUUCAUCCAAAAAUUGGGAGA
RNAcentral lists this long non-coding RNA (246 nucleotides) under Elaeis guineensis (African oil palm). RNAcentral's name for it is "long non-coding RNA (EGUI_LNC014561)". The record is from RNAcentral. Lineage: Eukaryota; Viridiplantae; Streptophyta; Magnoliopsida; Arecales; Arecaceae.